This 1291-nucleotide ribosomal RNA is filed under the name human gut metagenome. Its description in RNAcentral is "bacterial LSU rRNA". It matches the Rfam family "Bacterial large subunit ribosomal RNA", at positions 823 to 2131 of the family's 2925-position model. The record is from RNAcentral.
GAAAUUCCAAUCGAACUCGGAGAUAGCUGGUUCUCCUCGAAAUAGCUUUAGGGCUAGCCUCGAGAGGAGUCUAACGGAGGUAAAGCACUGAACUGACGCGGGGCCCCAAAAGGUUACCAACUCAAAUCAAACUAAGAAUGCCGUCAAGAUACCCUCGGGAGUCAGACUACGGGAGAUAAGUUUCGUGGUCAAAAGGGAAAGAGCCCAGACCGACAGCUAAGGUCCCAAAGUGUGUGUUAAGUGGAAAAGGAUGUGGGAUUUCAUAGACAACUAGGAUGUUGGCUUAGAAGCAGCCAUACAUUUAAAGAGUGCGUAAUAGCUCACUAGUCGAGAGAACCUGCGCCGAAAAUAAUCGGGGCUAAAACACACCACCGAAGCUACGGAUUUCCUGCUUAAGGUAGGAAGUGGUAGAGGAGCAUACUGCAAGGACGAAGCCUGAUUGAGAGAGAAGGUGGACGAAGCAGUAGAGAGAAUGCCGGAAUGAGUAGCGAGAUAUAUGUGAGAACCAUAUAGGCCGAAUAUCUAAGGUUUCCUGAGUGAAGCUAAUCUGCUCAGGGUAAGUCGGGACCUAAGGCGAGGACGAGAGUCGUAGUCGAUGGACAACUGGUAGAGAUUCCAGUACUAUGUAUAAUCAGAACUGUGGGGACGCAGGAGGAUAGAUGGACCGCGGAAAGGGAAGACGCGGCCAAGUACAAAGUCAAGUUAGGUAGGCAAAUCCGCCAAACGAUGAUGAAGUACGACGGGGACUGAAAGAAAGUAAGGAAGUCAUUGAAUCCACACUGCCGAGAAAAGCCGCUAUAGUGUUAUACAUACCCGUACCGUAAACCGACACAGGUAGAUGAGGAGAAAAUCCACAGGCCGACGGGAGAAGUGUUGUUAAGGAACUCGGCAAAAUGACCCCGUAACUUAGGGAGAAGGGGAGCCACGAGAGUGGUCACAGAAAAGAGGCUCAAGCAACUGUUUAGCAAAAACACAGGUCUCUGCGAAACCGAAAGGUGAAGUAUAGGGGCUGACACCUGCCCGGUGCUGGAAGGUUAAAAGGAGAGGUUAGCCGCAAGGCGAAGCUUUGAAUUCAAGCCCCAGUAAACGGCGGCCGUAACUAUAACGGUCCUAAGGUAGCGAAAUUCCUUGUCAGGUAAGUUCUGACCCGCACGAAAGGUGUAACGAUUUGAGCACUGUCUCGACAACACGCCCGGUGAAAUUGAAGAACCAGUGAAGAUACUGGUUACCCGCAACAGGACGGAAAGACCCCAUGGAGCUUUACUGCAGCCUGAUACUGGGAUUCGAUGAU